RNAcentral lists this ribosomal RNA (253 nucleotides) under uncultured bacterium. RNAcentral's name for it is "partial 16S ribosomal RNA". It matches the Rfam family "Bacterial small subunit ribosomal RNA", at positions 524 to 776 of the family's 1533-position model. The record is from RNAcentral.
UACGUAGGGUGCGAGCGUUAAUCGGAAUUACUGGGCGUAAAGCGUGCGCAGGCGGUGAUGUAAGACAGUUGUGAAAUCCCCGGGCUCAACCUGGGAACUGCAUCUGUGACUGCAUCGCUGGAGUGCGGCAGAGGGGGAUGGAAUUCCGCGUGUAGCAGUGAAAUGCGUGGAUAUGCGGAGGAACACCGAUGGCGAAGGCAAUCCCCUGGGCCUGCACUGACGCUCAUGCACGAAAGCGUGGGGAGCAAACAGG